GAGAGUUGGCCGAGCGGUUGAAGGCACCGGUCUUGAAAACCGGCGUGCGCAAGCACCGUGGGUUCGAAUCCCACACUCUCC
Molecule: transfer RNA, 81 nt
Filed under: human gut metagenome
Rfam family: tRNA
About the family: Transfer RNA (tRNA) molecules are approximately 80 nucleotides in length. Their secondary structure includes four short double-helical elements and three loops (D, anti-codon, and T loops). Further hydrogen bonds mediate the characteristic L-shaped molecular structure. tRNAs have two regions of fundamental functional importance: the anti-codon, which is responsible for specific mRNA codon recognition, and the 3' end, to which the tRNAs corresponding amino acid is attached (by aminoacyl-tRNA synthetases). tRNAs cope with the degeneracy of the genetic code in two manners: having more than one tRNA (with a specific anti-codon) for a particular amino acid; and 'wobble' base-pairing, i.e. permitting non-standard base-pairing at the 3rd anti-codon position.
Source: RNAcentral